UACAGAGGGGGCAAGCGUUAUUCGGAAUUAUUGGGCGUAAAGGGCGCGUAGGCGGCCUGGCAAGUGGAAGGUGAAAUCCCUCGGCUUAACCGAGGAACUGCCCUCCAAACUGCUUGGCUUGAGUCCGGGAGAGGUGAGUGGAAUUCCCAGUGUAGCGGUGAAAUGCGUAGAUAUUGGGAGGAACACCAGUGGCGAAGGCGGCUCACUGGACCACAACUGACGCUGAGGCGCGAAAGCUAGGGGAGCAAACAGG
Molecule: ribosomal RNA, 253 nt
Filed under: uncultured bacterium
Lineage: Bacteria
Description: partial 16S ribosomal RNA
Rfam family: Bacterial small subunit ribosomal RNA
Source: RNAcentral